AAUGAACGCUGGCGGCAUGCCUUACACAUGCAAGUCGAGCGGCAGCAUGACCUAGCUUGCUAGGUUGAUGGCGAGUGGCGAACGGGUGAGUAAUGCAUCGGAACGUGCCUUUUAGUGGGGGAUAACGUAGCGAAAGUUACGCUAAUACCGCAUAUUCUCUGAGGAGGAAAGCAGGGGACCUUCGGGCCUUGCGCUAGAAGAGCGGCCGAUGUCGGAUUAGCUAGUUGGUGAGGUAAAGGCUCACCAAGGCAACGAUCCGUAGCGGGUCUGAGAGGAUGAUCCGCCACACUGGGACUGAGACACGGCCCAGACUCCUACGGGAGGCAGCAGUGGGGAAUUUUGGACAAUGGGCGCAAGCCUGAUCCAGCCAUGCCGCGUGAGUGAAGAAGGCCUUCGGGUUGUAAAGCUCUUUCGGCUGGGAAGAAAUCGCACCCUCUAAUACAGGGUGUGGAUGACGGUACCAGCAUAAGAAGCACCGGCUAACUACGUG
This 490-nucleotide ribosomal RNA is filed under the name uncultured bacterium. RNAcentral's name for it is "partial 16S ribosomal RNA". It matches the Rfam family "Bacterial small subunit ribosomal RNA", at positions 29 to 507 of the family's 1533-position model. The record is from RNAcentral.